RNAcentral lists this ribosomal RNA (482 nucleotides) under Pseudomonas sp. BAB-3530. Its description in RNAcentral is "bacterial SSU rRNA". It matches the Rfam family "Bacterial small subunit ribosomal RNA", at positions 36 to 513 of the family's 1533-position model. Lineage: Bacteria; Pseudomonadati; Pseudomonadota; Gammaproteobacteria; Pseudomonadales; Pseudomonadaceae. The record is from RNAcentral.
CUGGCGGCAGGCCUAACACAUGCAAGUCGAGCGGAUGAAGGGAGCUUGCUCCCGGAUUCAGCGGCGGACGGGUGAGUAAUGCCUAGGAAUCUGCCUGGUAGUGGGGGACAACGUUCCGAAAGGAGCGCUAAUACCGCAUACGUCCUACGGGAGAAAGUGGGGGAUCUUCGGACCUCACGCUAUCAGAUGAGCCUAGGUCGGAUUAGCUAGUAGGUGGGGUAAUGGCUCACCUAGGCGACGAUCCGUAACUGGUCUGAGAGGAUGAUCAGUCACACUGGAACUGAGACACGGUCCAGACUCCUACGGGAGGCAGCAGUGGGGAAUAUUGGACAAUGGGCGAAAGCCUGAUCCAGCCAUGCCGCGUGUGUGAAGAAGGUCUUCGGAUUGUAAAGCACUUUAAGUUGGGAGGAAGGGCAGUAAGUUAAUACCUUGCUGUUUUGACGUUACCAACAGAAUAAGCACCGGCUAACUUCGUGCCAGCA